GAUGAACGCUGACAGAAUGCUUAACACAUGCAAGUCUACUUGAACUUCGGUUUGGGUGGCGGACGGGUGAGUAACGCGUAAAGAACUUGCCUCACAGUUAGGGACAACAUUUGGAAACGAAUGCUAAUACCUGAUAUUAUGAUUUUAGGGCAUCCUAGGAUUAUGAAAGCUAUAUGUGCUGUGAGAGAGCUUUGCGUCCCAUUAGCUAGUUGGAGAGGUAACGGCUCACCAAGGCGAUGAUGGGUAGCCGGCCUGAGAGGGUGAACGGCCACAAGGGGACUGAGACACGGCCCUUACUCCUACGGGAGGCAGCAGUGGGGAAUAUUGGACAAUGGACCAAAAGUCUGAUCCAGCAAUUCUGUGUGCACGAUGACGUUUUUCGGAAUGUAAAGUGCUUUCAGUUGGGAAGAAAAAAAUGACGGUACCAACAGAAGAAGUGACGGCUAAAUACGUGC
This 455-nucleotide ribosomal RNA is filed under the name uncultured bacterium. RNAcentral describes it as "partial 16S ribosomal RNA". It matches the Rfam family "Bacterial small subunit ribosomal RNA", at positions 28 to 508 of the family's 1533-position model. The record is from RNAcentral.